CCUACGGGAGGCAGCAGUAGGGAAUCUUCGGCAAUGGACGAAAGUCUGACCGAGCAACGCCGCGUGAGUGAAGAAGGUUUUCGGAUCGUAAAACUCUGUUGGUAGAGAAGAACGAUGGUGAGAGUGGAAAGCUCAUCAAGUGACGGUAACUACCCAGAAAGGGACGGCUAACUACGUGCCAGCAGCCGCGGUAAUACGUAGGCCCCGAGCGUUGUCCGGAUUUAUUGGGCGUAAAGCGAGCGCAGGUGGUUUAUUAAGUCUGGUGUAAAAGGCAGUGGCUCAACCAUUGUAUGCAUUGGAAACUGGUAGACUUGAGUGCAGGAGAGGAGAGUGGAAUUCCAUGUGUAGCGGUGAAAUGCGUAGAUAUAUGGAGGAACACCGGUGGCGAAAGCGGCUCUCUGGCCUGUAACUGACACUGAGGCUCGAAAGCGUGGGGAGCAAACAGGAUUAGAUACCCCCGUAGUC
This 465-nucleotide ribosomal RNA is filed under the name uncultured bacterium. Its description in RNAcentral is "bacterial SSU rRNA". It matches the Rfam family "Bacterial small subunit ribosomal RNA", at positions 338 to 795 of the family's 1533-position model. The record is from RNAcentral.